RNAcentral lists this ribosomal RNA (440 nucleotides) under uncultured bacterium. RNAcentral's name for it is "partial 16S ribosomal RNA". It matches the Rfam family "Bacterial small subunit ribosomal RNA", at positions 338 to 795 of the family's 1533-position model. The record is from RNAcentral.
CCUACGGGGGGCUGCAGUGGGGAAUAUUGCACAAUGGGGGAAACCCUGAUGCAGCGACGCCGCGUGAGUGAAGAAGUAAUUCGUUAUGUAAAGCUCUAUCAGCAGGGAAGAAAAUGACGGUACCUGAGUAAGAAGCCCCGGCUAACUACGUGCCAGCAGCCGCGGUAAUACGUAGGGGGCAAGCGUUAUCCGGAUUUACUGGGUGUAAAGGGAGCGUAGACGGUAUGGCAAGUCUGAUGUGAAAACCCGGGGCUCAACCCCGGGACUGCAUUGGAAACUGCCGAACUAGAGUGUCGGAGAGGCAAGUGGAAUUCCUAGUGUAGCGGUGAAAUGCGUAGAUAUUAGGAGGAACACCAGUGGCGAAGGCGGCUUGCUGGACGAUGACUGACGUUGAGGCUCGAAAGCGUGGGGAGCAAACAGGAUUAGAUACCCGUGUAGUC